GGUCCUGUAGUUAAUUGUCCCUUGAGUUUUCAUUUCAUCUUUUUAGAAUGAAGGGUUGAAUAGAUACGAUUAGGUGAGAGUUGGUAGGUGUUGUUUCGUUGAUAGUUUUUUUUUUUUUUAGUUAGCAUUUCUUUUGAUUUCAUGGGAGGAAGAAAGUCACGCCUAGGUGCAACUUUUGUUUUUUAUUUAAUUGUUGAAGGCAAAUGAUUGACGUUGAUGAAUGAAGAAGUGACUUAAUGGGAGUUUGGUUGAAGGGUGCUCAUGGACGUCUGUGUUAAGUCUCUGGCAAGUGUACCAGAUCCUUAUCAAGUAAUAUAAACGAGUAAGUCCGAG
This 333-nucleotide long non-coding RNA is filed under the name Vigna radiata. Its description in RNAcentral is "long non-coding RNA (VRAD_LNC008483)". The record is from RNAcentral. Lineage: Eukaryota; Viridiplantae; Streptophyta; Magnoliopsida; Fabales; Fabaceae.